RNAcentral lists this ribosomal RNA (99 nucleotides) under Pteropus alecto (black flying fox). Lineage: Eukaryota; Metazoa; Chordata; Mammalia; Chiroptera; Pteropodidae. The record is from RNAcentral.
GUCUACGGCCAUGCCACCCUGAUCUCGGAAGCUAAGCAGGGUCGGGCCUGGUUAGCACUUGGAUGGGAGACCACCUAGGAAGACCAGGUGCUGUAGACA